This 253-nucleotide ribosomal RNA is filed under the name uncultured bacterium. Its description in RNAcentral is "partial 16S ribosomal RNA". It matches the Rfam family "Bacterial small subunit ribosomal RNA", at positions 524 to 776 of the family's 1533-position model. The record is from RNAcentral.
UACGUAGGGGGCUAGCGUUGUCCGGAUUUAUUGGGCGUAAAGAGCGUGUAGGCGGCCAGGUAGGUCUGCUGUGAAAACUCGAGGCUCAACCUCGAGAUGUCGGCGGAAACCAUCUGGCUAGAGUCCGGAAGAGGAGAGUGGAAUUCCUGGUGUAGCGGUGAAAUGCGCAGAUAUCAGGAAGAACACCCGUGGCGAAGGCGGCUCUCUGGGACGGCACUGACGCUGAGACGCGAAAGCGUGGGGAGCGAACAGG